RNAcentral lists this unclassified non-coding RNA (234 nucleotides) under Tetracladium marchalianum. RNAcentral describes it as "partial internal transcribed spacer region". The stretch from base 1 to 46 matches the Rfam family "Eukaryotic small subunit ribosomal RNA", at positions 1786 to 1831 of the family's 1831-position model. The record is from RNAcentral. Lineage: Eukaryota; Fungi; Ascomycota; Leotiomycetes; Helotiales. RNAcentral also lists the same sequence under 2 other names.
AAGUCGUAACAAGGUUUCCGUAGGUGAACCUGCGGAAGGAUCAUUACCGAGUUCAUGCCCUCACGGGUAGAUCUCCCACCCUUUGUAUACCAUACCUUUGUUGCUUUGGCGGGCCGCCUAGCUACUGGCUUCGGCUGGUAAGUGCCCGCCAGAGGACCCAAAACCCUGAAUAUUAGUGUCGUCUGAGUAAAAUUUUAAUAUUUAAAACUUUCAACAACGGAUCUCUUGGCUCUG